GGGCCCGCACAAGCGGCGGAGCAUGCGGAUUAAUUCGAUGCAACGCGAAGAACCUUACCAAGGCUUGACAUAUAGAAGAACACUGCAGAGAUGCAGGACUCUUUGGACACUUCUAUACAGGUGGUGCAUGGUUGUCGUCAGCUCGUGUCGUGAGAUGUUCGGUUAAGUCCGGCAACGAGCGCAACCCUCGUCCUAUGUUGCCAGCACGUGAUGGUGGGAACUCAUGGGAUACUGCCGUGGUCAACACGGAGGAAGGUGGGGAUGACGUCAAAUCAUCAUGCCCCUUAUGUCUUGGGCUUCACGCAUGCUACAAUGGCCGGUACAAAGGGCUGCGAUACCGUAAGGUGGAGCGAAUCCCAAAAAGCCGGUCUCAGUUCGGAUUGGGGUCUGCAACUCGACCCCAUGAAGUCGGAGUCGCUAGUAAUCGCAGAUCAGCAACGCUGCGGUGAAUACGUUCCCGGGCCUU
This 466-nucleotide ribosomal RNA is filed under the name uncultured bacterium. RNAcentral describes it as "bacterial SSU rRNA". It matches the Rfam family "Bacterial small subunit ribosomal RNA", at positions 917 to 1382 of the family's 1533-position model. The record is from RNAcentral.